UACGGGGGGGGCAAGCGUUGUUCGGAAUUACUGGGCGUAAAGGGCUCGUAGGCGGCCAACUAAGUCAGACGUGAAAUCCCUCGGCUUAACCGGGGAACUGCCUCUGAUACUGGAUGGCUUGAGAUUGGGAGAGGGAUGCGGAAUUCCAGGUGUAGCGGUGAAAUGCGUAGAUAUCUGGAGGAACACCGGUGGCGAAGGCGGCAUCCUGGACCAUUACUGACACUGAAAAGCGAAAGCCAGGGGAGCAAACGGG
This 253-nucleotide ribosomal RNA is filed under the name uncultured bacterium. RNAcentral describes it as "partial 16S ribosomal RNA". It matches the Rfam family "Bacterial small subunit ribosomal RNA", at positions 524 to 776 of the family's 1533-position model. The record is from RNAcentral.